UACGUAGGAUGCAAGCGUUGUCCGGAUUUAUUGGGUUUAAAGGGUGCGUAGGCGGCCUCUGAGGUUAGUGGUGAAAACGUUCGGCUUAACCGGAUACCCGCCAUUGAUACUGAUAGACCUGAGUGCGACAGAGGGUGUUGGAAUGUGUGGUGUAGCGGUGAAAUGCUUAGAUAUCACGCAGAACACCAAUUGCGAAGGCAGAUGCCUAUGUCGUAACUGACGCUGAGGCACGAAAGCGUGGGGAGCAAACAGG
Molecule: ribosomal RNA, 253 nt
Filed under: uncultured bacterium
Lineage: Bacteria
Description: partial 16S ribosomal RNA
Rfam family: Bacterial small subunit ribosomal RNA
Source: RNAcentral